RNAcentral lists this long non-coding RNA (412 nucleotides) under Homo sapiens (human). RNAcentral's name for it is "non-protein coding MIR217HG:4". The record is from RNAcentral. Lineage: Eukaryota; Metazoa; Chordata; Mammalia; Primates; Hominidae.
AGCAUACCAUGUGUUACACAGCAGAUACUGAAGCUGUAAACAGUAAAUUCAUACUUACGAUGUUAGAAAAAUAAGAUUCUGAUUAUGAAACAAAAGGUUGUUUUCAGUUGAAGAAGUAAAUAAUAGUAAGAAUAAGGAAUUUUGCAAAAGCCAAGCCUUCAGAUGGUCAGAUAAAGUACCUGAUGCUGAAAAACAGGAAAUUGAAUCAUGUCUCCAAAAUGUGCCUUUUGUCAUGCACUGUUACAGCUAUAUUUCUUGUAACUACAUUCAGCCUCCAGCCAAGAUAAAGAAUUAUGUGAUACAUACUUCAUCUUCCAUCACUGCUUUCAAAAGAUGUGAAUUCUGCAAACCAGACAGAAGAGGGAGCUAUCCAUCUGGAAAUUAACCAAUCCUUUCAAAAACAUGUCAAAUA